RNAcentral lists this small nucleolar RNA (107 nucleotides) under Gossypium hirsutum (cotton). Its description in RNAcentral is "Plant small nucleolar RNA R71". It matches the Rfam family "Plant small nucleolar RNA R71". From Rfam's summary of the family: R71 is a member of the C/D box family of snoRNAs containing the C (UGAUGA) and D (CUGA) box motifs. Multiple nearly identical copies of this snoRNA have been identified in Arabidopsis, and it is thought to function as a 2'-O-ribose methylation guide for 18S ribosomal RNA. Lineage: Eukaryota; Viridiplantae; Streptophyta; Magnoliopsida; Malvales; Malvaceae. The record is from Rfam by way of RNAcentral.
AAUCCAUGAUGAGGACACCUUCUCAACAAAUCUCUAAAUAUCUCCCAUGUAUCAUAAAGUGUUUCAAUAUCAAAUUGAACAAAAGAAGAGAUGUCGUUCAUCAACUU